Molecule: long non-coding RNA, 2334 nt
Organism: Felis catus (domestic cat)
Lineage: Eukaryota; Metazoa; Chordata; Mammalia; Carnivora; Felidae
Exons: 2
Source: RefSeq, a predicted model, not a curated record
UCCGAAGCAGGCUCCAGGCUCUGAACUGUCAGCACAGAGCCCGACGCGGGGCUCGAACUCACGAACCGCGAGAUCAUGACCUGAGCCGAAGUCGGGCGCUUAACUGAGCCACCCAGACGCCCCUAAAGGGUGCUUUUCUGAUCUUCCUUGGGAGUGACUCACACCUCCAAGCCUGCCUGUCCCAAGCAAUGAGGGGGCGUCUGCACACUCAUUACACUCCAUUCUGCCUGGGGCCCCUUCUUUGGUCUUGGGGCAUGGGGAUGAAAAUUAAGAUUCCCUGAGACUUUGGGCUGACCCCACACUCAGGCCAAGUCCAUGCUACCCCUCAUUCCAAACGAUCCUCCCAGCCUCCCAGCCCAGCUCUGUCAGGUGCAUCCACUGCCUGCCACCUGUGCGGCAUCAGAAUCCCUUGGGAGCUCAGCCCAUUACCAGGGUCAGCUAUUUGAGAAGCACGCGGAUCAGGCCUUAUUUUCCUCAGGAGGCCUUUGUGCACGUGUAAAAACGUAACACACCUACGAGUACUCCUUUCUCUGGCCCGUUAGAGUUUACAAAGUGACUUCAUAUAAAUGAGCUCACUGGUUCCUUGUAGCAGUUCUGUGACACUUUGUGGACGCGGCUCACCAAUACAAUUAUGUGACUUGACCAGGUCAGACAGCCAGUUGGGCCUCCUUGCCCCAGGCAUACCUACUAACCUAAAUGGGUUAUUAGAUUGGCCAGCUGGAACCUCGGGGCAGCGGGGAGGGGAGAGGCACGAGGUACUCAGCACCCACUGGGGCCAGUCCUGCAACAGCAAUCAACGAAUACAUGGGGAGGGAGAGGGGGGCUGCCCACAGGUCCCCUACAACUAGAGCUGGCGGGAACAGGCCUCCUGAUGGGUCCCUUUUGUCAAGUCUUAGUCAAGGGAAGUCUUGUCUUCGCCGAACCUUAGAUGUGGUGGGUGGAGCCACGGAGAAGUCUGGCAAAAAGCGGGGGCCAGGACCUCUCCCGAGAAGCAAAGGUUGAGGGUGACCACGCCUACCUGGGAGGAAGGUGGGUACCGGCCUAGUCCCAGCUCUGUGCAUUCUGGGGCGGGUCACCCCCAUUGCAAGCCCCCAGCUCCUCAUCUGCUAGGAGGUGGCCCUUUCCAAGGGCUUCCUGACCCGGCAAUCAGUGGGUAACUGCCGGCUGGCGUUCUCCCUCGGAUCGUUAGGUGUUGGGCGACUGGUAGACAAUUGAAUUGUCCACGACUUGCUCUUACAAGCCAUGCUGUAGAGAAAUGGUAACAAUGGAGCACCACAAAGCCCAGGGUUUGGUCGAGGCUGCCAGAUGGCCCUCCAGAUGCAGUUGUCCAAAUUUGCACCCUCACCAGCAGGUGUAUGAAAGGCCCUUUUCCCCACAUUCCUGCUGCAUCGGGCGGGGUUCUUCAGAGAAGGAGAGCCAAUAGGAUACAGAGAGAGAAAGAGAGCGAUUUCUAGUAAGGAAUGAGCUCAUGUGAUUGUGGGGUCUGGCAAAAUCCAAAAUGCUGGCGGCCGGCAGCUUAGGCAAAAGAUGAUGUUGCAGUCUCGAGUCUGAAAUCUGUAUGGCGAGUCACCUGUCCGGAAAUUCAGACGGGAUUUCUGUUACAGUCUUGAAGCAGAAUUGCUUCUUCUGGAAACCUCAGUGUUUGCUCUUAAGACCUGCACCUGAUUGGAUGAGGCCCACCCACAUUAUCAAGGGUAAUCGCUAAAGCCAGUUGAUUGUAGAGGUUAAUCACAUCUACAAUAAUACCAUCACAGCAGCAUCUGGCCUAGUGUUAGACCAGGCACCGUAACACCUAGCCGACCUGACACAUAAAAUUAACCAUCGCACCUGCUGUCGCUGGAUAUCAUGGUAUGGUGUUUGCCAUUUUGACCUUGAGAAACAGUAAAGCAUUCUAGGGAUUACUCUCAGACAUCAACUGUUGACUGUAGCCAAGUGAUGGCUGGUUGUUCCUGUUUCCCUCCCCUGCCCCCACCCCAUUUCCUCUCUACCCUCCUCUGCCCUGCUCUGUGCCCCAGGAUACCCAACCUGUGGAUCGGCCUCGCCUGGGUUCCUUCACCUCUGGCUCAGGCCAGUGAGGAGCACCAGAGAUCAGAGGGCAGGAUGAGAGAGAAUUCCAGGCAUCUAUCCCCACCCCUUGCUGCUUGCAGACCACACCUCUGCAUUGGCUUCCUUUCUCCAAGCACCAGACCUCCUCGGGCCCCUAGACCACUAUUUCCUCUUCCUGCCACUUCUGCCCUAGCCUCUCGGUGUCACUGGCCCUCUGGUUCCCUUAAUCCCGCUCCCACCUCUGUAAAUAAGCCAUACUUUCAUUAAAGGCACUCCGUGUUGAGUCGA